RNAcentral lists this ribosomal RNA (459 nucleotides) under uncultured bacterium. Its description in RNAcentral is "bacterial SSU rRNA". It matches the Rfam family "Bacterial small subunit ribosomal RNA", at positions 28 to 507 of the family's 1533-position model. The record is from RNAcentral.
GAUGAACGUUGGCGGUGUGCCUAAUACAUGCAAGUCGAACGGAGUUAAUAGCAAUAUUGACUUAGUGGCGAACGGGUGAGUAACGCGUUGGUGAUCUGCCUUGAAGUGUGGAAUAACGCUCCGAAAGGAGCGCUAAUACCGCAUGUGCUCUCAAUUUUUAGAAACUUGAGAGGAAAGGACUUAUUCGCUUCGAGAGGAGCCUGCGUCCCAUCAGCUGGUUGGUAGGGUAAAGGCCUACCAAGGCAAUGACGGGUAGGGACCUGAGAGGGUGGCCCCCCACAAUGGAACUGAAACACGGUCCAUACACCUACGGGUGGCAGCAGUAGGGAAUAUUAGAAAUGGACGAAAGUCUGAUCUAGCAACACCGCGUGUGCGAAAGAAGGCCUUCGGGUCGUAAAGCACUUUUUGGAAGGAAUAGGAAGGAAUGUACUUCCAGAAUAAGUCUCGGCUAACUACGUG